RNAcentral lists this ribosomal RNA (253 nucleotides) under uncultured bacterium. RNAcentral describes it as "partial 16S ribosomal RNA". It matches the Rfam family "Bacterial small subunit ribosomal RNA", at positions 524 to 776 of the family's 1533-position model. The record is from RNAcentral.
UACGUAGGUGGCAAGCGUUGUUCGGAAUUAUUGGGCGUAAAGGGCGCGUAGGCGGUUUGUUAAGUCGGUUGUGAAAGCCCGGGGCUCAACCCCGGAGGGUCGACCGAUACUGGCAGGCUAGAGUACAGAAGAGGUAGCUGGAAUUCCCGGUGUAGCGGUGAAAUGCGUAGAUAUGCGGAGGAACACCGAUGGCGAAGGCAAUCCCCUGGGCCUGCACUGACGCUCAUGCACGAAAGCGUGGGGAGCAAACAGG